This 504-nucleotide long non-coding RNA is filed under the name Homo sapiens (human). RNAcentral describes it as "HSALNT0005554". The record is from RNAcentral. Lineage: Eukaryota; Metazoa; Chordata; Mammalia; Primates; Hominidae.
CUUCUCCCCCAAUCAGGUUCCCUCCCCCAUUCUUUGGGUGCGUCUUGGCUUGUCCUGCCUGUCUUCUUCUAGGAAGCCACUCAGUCCUGCCUCAAAGAAGGGAGGAAGGAUGUCACCUUGUCCUGGGCAAGUUAUUGGGCAAGACCAGGCAGCUCCAGUGCUAAUUUAAUGCUGGGAAGAGAGUCGGGGAACCUGCAGCUCUAGAUUAGGAAAAAGGUCAUAGCAACCCAAAGGAGGCGGAGCAACUGGAGUUCAAGACAUUCACCUUAAAAGGUACACUCAGUUGCCCCUGCGUUUGGACUUUGCUGACCUGGAAAAAAGAGAACUGCAUAGUAAUCCAUUUGUGUUCCAUCUCGUCAAAAGUAUAGCACCUGUGGGGGCUGAGCUGGUGUUUCGUGGGAUCAUGAUGAUUCUCUGACUUGAAGUGCAAGGACUGGGAAAAAAUUCCAUGUCUGUAAGAAAAUGAAUCCUAAAGAUUCCAGUGUUGUACCUUAUCCAUUGAUA